Molecule: transfer RNA, 79 nt
Filed under: Aedes aegypti (yellow fever mosquito)
Lineage: Eukaryota; Metazoa; Arthropoda; Insecta; Diptera; Culicidae
Rfam family: tRNA
About the family: Transfer RNA (tRNA) molecules are approximately 80 nucleotides in length. Their secondary structure includes four short double-helical elements and three loops (D, anti-codon, and T loops). Further hydrogen bonds mediate the characteristic L-shaped molecular structure. tRNAs have two regions of fundamental functional importance: the anti-codon, which is responsible for specific mRNA codon recognition, and the 3' end, to which the tRNAs corresponding amino acid is attached (by aminoacyl-tRNA synthetases). tRNAs cope with the degeneracy of the genetic code in two manners: having more than one tRNA (with a specific anti-codon) for a particular amino acid; and 'wobble' base-pairing, i.e. permitting non-standard base-pairing at the 3rd anti-codon position.
Source: Rfam by way of RNAcentral
UGUUCUGUAGCUUAGUUGGUUGAAGCGGCGGUCGGUUAAAGCGUACACGGAGUCGUGAGUUCGAGUCUCACUAAAACGC